CCAUAUUUCGCAUAUGAAUAUGAAAGGCGGAAGAGGAAGUAGUUCCUUCCAAUGUAGACAAGUUCCUGUUAAUGAUAAACUACAAAUUUACCCUAAAUUACUAAAAUAUCGAUAUUUUAAUAUGAGAAUCGAUUCUAGAACAUAAAUGACUGGUAUCGGCGGAAUCGAUAUUUCAGUAUCGAUCCGCACAUCACUAGUUUACACCACUAAUUGACCUGACCCCAUUCACGGGGGAGGAUGUUGGAGCAACUGGAGAGAACCCACACAAGCAUAACGAGAGCAUCUCCCAGCCGGAUGGUGGAUUUAAACUCCAAACUUUCUUGCUGAGAGGCAACAGUGCUAACCACUGCACCACCAUGCUGCCCUCUAAAAGCUACUUUCAGUUGCUGCCUCAUACAACAGGUGUCACCACAGCGGGUAGCUCGACAUAUUUGAUUUGGCAGAUUUUUACACCAGAUGCCUUUCCUGAUGCAAGCCUGAAGGGAUGUGUGUUUUCCCCAGUGUUAAACCAGUGAGCUUUUACUUCUUUAGCAGUUGUGUAAUCCACUGCACUAAGGAGCCAUUCAUGCGUCGAGCCCGUCUCUGUCAUUAUGUGUAGUAUUACCAGUGAUUAAUCUUUUUUUUUUUUUUUUGCAUUACAGAAAAAGUUGAAGGUUUUCUUGUUUGUUUCAUUCAGCACAAACGGGUGAGGAUGCUGCACUAAGCUCACAGGGUGCUUUCACACUCAAAAUUGCUACCUAUCAAAAUUAAAGGUGUAAAAUCUUGGUUCGGUGAAAAGUGAUAAUUUCAGUCUAGAUACAGUUCUGUCAUAGUGUGGUUUAUUUCGAGUGUAAAAAAAUUGUCCCAGCUGAAAAAAGAGAAAUGAGCUGGGAGGUUGAUAGAGUUAGUAAAUCCAUAAUGAGGUCAACAGAGAAAAAAUAGCAUCACUUUUUAUCUAUUUUCUCAGAGGAUAAGAAAGAGAGAAUUUCAGAAGAUGGGAAAGGUAUAGCUGAAGUAUUAGAGGUGUAUAAUAAACAGUACAUUAUCAAUAUCAGUAUCAAUAUUAGGAGACGGUCGCCCUGUUCUCUAAUGAUAAAAACACAAAGGAGGCACUAUAUGCCAAGUUAAGUUUCCAUACUUGUAACAUGAACCCAAAACUAAUGAGAUGUUUGAAAUGUAAUGAAAAUGCAAACUGUGUUUUGGGCUCUUUUGGAAAAAAGGCUCUUGGAUUGUUUACAACAUGCCAAAAUGACUUGUCUAGCCACCCAGUAUCCAUUUUAUACAUGUAGCUAUACACAAAGGUAUCCAUCCACGCAG
This is a long non-coding RNA of Astatotilapia calliptera (eastern happy), 1296 nucleotides long. The record is from Ensembl. Lineage: Eukaryota; Metazoa; Chordata; Actinopteri; Cichliformes; Cichlidae.